Molecule: unclassified non-coding RNA, 110 nt
Organism: Cercocebus atys (sooty mangabey)
Lineage: Eukaryota; Metazoa; Chordata; Mammalia; Primates; Cercopithecidae
Rfam family: Y RNA
About the family: Y RNAs are components of the Ro ribonucleoprotein particle (Ro RNP), in association with Ro60 and La proteins. The Y RNAs and Ro60 and La proteins are well conserved, but the function of the Ro RNP is not known.
Source: Ensembl
AAUUGGUCCAAAGGUAAGAGUUAUCUCCAUUGAUUAUUCAGUCAGUUACAGAUCAAACUCCUUGUUCUACUUUUUUCUCCCUUCUUACUACUGUACUUGACUAGUCUUGA